Molecule: ribosomal RNA, 445 nt
Filed under: uncultured bacterium
Lineage: Bacteria
Description: partial 16S ribosomal RNA
Rfam family: Bacterial small subunit ribosomal RNA
Source: RNAcentral
GUGAGGAAUAUUGGUCAAUGGACGGAAGUCUGAACCAGCCAUGCCGCGUGCAGGAAUAAGGUCCUAUGGAUUGUAAACUGCUUUUAUUCGGGAAUAAACCUCUUUACGUGUAGGGAGCUGAAGGUACCGAAGGAAUAAGCACCGGCUAACUCCGUGCCAGCAGCCGCGGUAAUACGGAGGGUGCAAGCGUUAUCCGGAAUCAUUGGGUUUAAAGGGUCCGCAGGCGGGCUAUCAAGUCAGAGGUGAAAUCCCACAGCUUAACUGUGGAACUGCCUUUGAAACUGAUGGUCUUGAAUUAAGUGGGCGUUGGCGGAAUAUGACAUGUAGCGGUGAAAUGCAUAGAUAUGUCAUGGAACACCGAAAGCGAAGGCAGCUAACGAUACUUAUAUUGACGCUCAUGGACGAAAGCGUGGGUAGCGAACAGGAUUAGAUACCCUAGUAGUCC